RNAcentral lists this ribosomal RNA (460 nucleotides) under uncultured bacterium. RNAcentral's name for it is "partial 16S ribosomal RNA". It matches the Rfam family "Bacterial small subunit ribosomal RNA", at positions 338 to 795 of the family's 1533-position model. The record is from RNAcentral.
CCUACGGGAGGCAGCAGUGAGGAAUAUUUGUCAAUGGACGAGAGUCUGAACCAGCCAAGUAGCGUGAAGGAUGACUGCCCUAUGGGUUGUAAACUUCUUUUAUAAAGGAAUAAAACGAGGCACGUGUGCCUUUUUGCAUGGACUUUAUGAAUAAGGAUCGGCUAACUCCGUGCCAGCAGCCGCGGUAAUACGGAGGAUCCGAGCGUUAUCCGGAUUUAUUGGGUUUAAAGGACUCGUAGAUGGGUUGUUAAGACAGUUGUGAAAGUUUGGGGCUCAACCGUAAAAUUGUAAUUGAUACUGGUAGGCUUGAGUACAGUAGAGGUAGGAGGAAUUCGUGGUGUAGCGGUGAAAUGCUUAGAUAUCACGAAGAACCCCGAUUGCGAAGGCAGCUUACUAAACUGUGACUGACAUUGAUGCCCGAAAGUGUGGGUAUCAAACAGGAUUAGAUACCCCGGUAGUC